Long non-coding RNA from Ictalurus punctatus (channel catfish), 7855 nucleotides. The record is from Ensembl. NCBI's taxonomy places the organism in Eukaryota, Metazoa, Chordata, Actinopteri, Siluriformes, Ictaluridae.
ACGCACAUCAUCAUAACAACCUCACUCAAACCAAUACAGCUCAAACCAACUCAACUCAAACCAACUCAACUCACAUCAUCAUAACAACUUAACUCAGACCAACACAACUCAACUCACAUCAUCAUAACAACUCAACUCAAACCAACUCAACUCACAUCAUCAUAACAACCUCACUCAAACCAACUCAACUCAACUCAACUCACAUCAACAUAACAACUCAACUCAAACCAACAAAACUCACAUAAUCAUAACUCAACAGUUCUACUCGCCAACUCUAACAAACAGCUCAACUCCACAACAUAACAAUGAUUCAUCCUCUCAACCAACAGCACAACAACUCAACUCACAACUAUUCGACCCAUCGGAUCAACUCUAGUACAUUGGACCAUCAGGCAGUGCUUCACGUUUGGGUGGAUAAUGGUGGAUUGAUCUGGCUGUAGUAAUUCUACCCCUAGAGAACAUGAUGGUGGAGAGAGUAUUACUGUUAUUUCUUUCCUGUUUGUCUUGUUAAGGUUUUCUGACUUUUCACUGGGCAUAUUCUACUGAGUCAGCUCUGUUCAAGCCUGUUUAAGUUGCUUUGAAGGAUAAAAAGAGUGCGCAUGUGUGUGUGUGCACACUUGUCUUAAACGGAGGACAUUCUCCCUCAGCAAAACGUCUCACUUUUCCCACAUCCGUUCUUUUUCUCAUUCGAUACAAUGCCAUAUUGAUCUUCUGCGUCUAAUAAACGACGACCUGAAUACACCGGUCCAAUGUCCAGACUCAUCUUUUUUGCCAAAUUUCUGACACGUUAGACAGCGAACCAAACCAGGUAACAAAUCAUCAUGUGACAACCGACCGACUCGGAAAGGGACCAAACAGAAUCCAGAGCCAGGACGCUAAGGACAGCAGGCGCUGUAUAACAUUGUCUUCCAGAUCAACCAGUUCAUUUUUCAUUCUAUGCCUAAAUAAGGAAGUGACAGAGUAUGGGUUGUAAAAAGUCAGCUUUGGUUAAGGAGGCGUGGCCUCUGUGCCCGUAAGUGUCCCAUCAGAUCAUCGAUCAAGUUCCGCAUCAAAUCAUCUGGGAAAGCGACAUGCACCGCUAGAACAGAGUGUUCUCCGUGCUGCUCAUUUGCAUUCAGUCUGACUAUUUAUAUCUGCCGGAAUUACACAAGUCAAAACAAAGUAUUCACACACACUGCUGUGCUUUUUCCCAACUUACUAAGACUCCCUCACAGAGAAAACAUCACAAAAAAAAGAUGGUGGUCCAUCUGCAAGAUUCAGAUUAGUGGGCGUGUCUUGGUACCCGUGUAUGAACCCGAAGACACGCCUUUUCUAUGUUUCUGAGCAGGUCAAAUAAAUCCGUCAGUAUGAUAAGGUUUUCUCCUGUCAUUAACAAUAUUUGUGAAAAUACCUGACUAUUUCCACACCCGAGCUCAGAGACACACCUCACGUUCCCAUAUAUGGUCUCGGACAAUCCCACAUUUCCAUACAAGAACUCAAUAGACACACUCAAAUCUCCACAGGUGAACUGAGAGAUGAGCCAAUCCAUGUUUGAUUCCUAAGACACGCCCAUAUUUUCCAUAUAUGGUCUUCAAAUCACACCCAUCGAAGACGCUUCCAUUUCAAUAUAUGAGUUCCGAGACAUGUCUAUAUUAGCAUGUAUGGACUCACAUUCCUGCUUAUACGUCCAUGUCGGAUUUAAGUCUCCUCUAUUUUCAUAUAUAGACACAGAGUUUCAGAUAUUCCGCCAUAUAUGGACACAGUCUCAACAAAUAUACAUAUAUGGAUUCGGGUCCUGCCUAUAGUGCCAUAUAUGGACAUAAGCUCACCUAUAUUGAAGUAUAUAUAGACUCAAAGUUUCAGCUAUACUUCCAUAAAUGGACGCAACGUCCAGCAAUAUUUCCAAAUCUGCACUCCAGUCUCAAUUCUACUUCUAUAUAUGGACUCGAGUCCCACCUGGAUUUCCAUAUUCCGACACAGUCACACCUACAUUGAAGUAUAUGGACUCUAAGGUUCAGCUAUACUUCCAUAUUUGGACGCCAUCCUAUAUUUCCAUAUCUCAACUCUAGUCCCACUUCUACUUCCACAUAUGGACUCAUGUCCCGCCGGUAUUUCCAUAUAUGGACACAUAAAUGGAACUAUAUAGACUCAAGAUUCCAUACUUCCUAUAUACUAUAUAUAUAUGGACUAAAUAUGGAUUAAAGUCCCGCCUCAAUUUCCAUAUCUGGACUCCAAUGAUCAGCUAUAUUUCCCUAUAUGGCCUCAAAGCCCCGCCCAUAUUUCCGUAUAUGUACUCCUUUUUCUCUGAACGCCUAGAUGUCAAACUCUAAUUUUGUGCUCUAAACAUGAAGCUCCUCCCACAUUACCAUAAAACCCCGCCCACUCCGCUGACCUCCGAGCCGGCCGUUAUGAGAGGAAGGAGAAUGUUUGGCCUGUGCUGAUGGUGACAGACCACGCAGCUGGCAUGUAUGCGUCUGUGUGUGUGUGUGUGUGUGUGUGUGUGUGUGUGUGCGUGCGCUGAAAGUGCGAUGGUGCCGGGAGUGGGAGUGUGAACGAGUGGGAGUGUGACAGCUCGUGCAUGCCUGUUAAGCGUGUGUGUGUUGGCAAGUUGUGUUCUGUUUGAUUAGCCAAUGAUAGGGGAUGAAAGCCAGAUCAUCAAGAGGAGUUUGAUCAGCUGCGGAGAACACACACACUAUCAUCCACGCUGACACACACACACACACACACACACACACACACCAUCAUCUACUCUGACAUACGCACCGUCAUCCAUGAUGUGACUGUGACGAGAAAAAGAACUCGGGUUAAUGAAAGACCGAUUACUCAGUCUAAUUAUCCAUUCUCUCUCUCUCUCUCUCUGUAUAUCUAUCUGUUAUGUCUUUUACUUUAUCUCUCUCUCUCUCUCUCUCUCUCUCUCUCUCUCUCUCACUCUGUGACCUUGUGCUGUCAGCUGUUUUAACAAGGCUUAAACGAACACACCAGUUGUGUGUACAUGGGGUGUGCACUGCCCAUGUAGCAUGAGCUAUGAUAUGAUACGCUGGUACAUGCCAACACACACACACACACACACACACACACACACACACACACACACACACAAUUUCAGCGAAAUCAAUAUUUUUUUAUUGAGGAAUCCAUUAUGUCAAGAACUCUUGACGUGCACCUGAAAGGAAAGCAAGUGAAAGCAUCGGAGCGUCUCCGGGUUCCCGCAGUCCGCUUUCCCAUGAACCCUCACUGCGUCGCGAGAAUGCGGCAGUCAUAAUUUCAUCUACAGCCUCAAGUACAACCCUGAUGUCACUAUUACAACUCAAAAUGUAAUUAAAGAUCUAUAAUGAGCAAUUUGUGUAAUCUGGUCACCCAAGGAAAGCGUUAAAAACAGCUCGCCCCACUCACACACCACCUACGCCUUUGUUUGGCGUCUUGUUUUUUGCUGAAAAACCUCCUUCCUGCGAGCCUUUGAGAAGUUUAAUCACCUCUCCUUCUUUCUCUCUCUCUCUCUCCCUCUCCCUCCUUCUCUCUCUCCCCCUCUCCCGCCUUCUCUCGCUCUCCCUUCUCUCUCCCCACCGCUGUGCCGCGGAGUCGUGUUGGCGUGACGGGGUGGAAAAGGUCACUCCUGUUUCUUCGUUUUCGGGGCAAGUGGAGCGAGGGAAGAGGAGGAGCGAGGAGGAGGGCAGAAGCAGGUAGAGGCCUCUCUGCACUCGUCCGCUGUUCUGUCGGUUCUGUGGACCGAGCGCUAAUGGGGCGUCACGCUGAGCUGGCGCAGAGCACGCCUGCUGCUGCUGCUGUACAUUAUGGGAAACACACCUUCACACACACACACACACACACACACACAGAGAGAGAGAGAAGGCCGAUCGAUGCAGUAAGAGAUGCGGAAUUGCGCGCGUGUGUGUGCGUGUGUGAGAGGAAAAAACAGAGCCAACAGCAACACAAAGACAAAUUUGAUAUUUUUUUUAUGAUCCACUCGACACAAUUACACCACAGGAGCAUUUUCUCCAUUCUCAUGAUGUGUGUGUGUGUGUGUGUGUGACCCCAGUGCACGAUGUGUGAUGAAAUAUCAAAUCUCCACAAAGAUAUACACACGGUGUAAGACAAGAACAAUACAACAAAUUACACAACACACACACACACACACACACACACACACACACACACGCUCCAGAAGCGAAGAUGUACUCAUGGGAAAUAUUCGAUAGUCGUUUACUACUCAGGUGGCCGAUCAAUUCUCAAAAUAAUUAUGACAGACAAGUUAAUCUGCAGGAUUUCUACAAUCUCAACGGUACUCUUUCACUUCCUGUGGUUCCUGCUUCUCUACACAGACUCCGCCCACUAAAAAAAACUCGUGUAAUAUUCCUUUUCAGCCAGUUUUGUGAUAGCUCCGCCCAUCGGAACCUUUACACUUUCCCCGUUAACCCUUCGCCUAACCGAACCCUAGGUGAAAUAAAUUCCAUUCUAAUUUGGAGAUAUCGUUUCAGAUUGUCAGCCUCCUCAGCCAAUCAGAUUCGCCUCGUAUCUGGCCUCCAUUUACGCAAGCGCGCGUUUUACAUACGGGACGUCUGAGUCGGGGAGAUUAAAAAAAUAAAGUCAGAACUCGGCAAUUAAUCAUCGUUUGGUUGGAUAUAGUGAUACGGUGGGGUAGACAAAGAGCAUAUGGAGAGUGAGACCGUCAGAGUGAGGCAAAGAGUGAGACAGAAAGAGUGAAACAGAUACAGUGAGGUAGACAAAGAGCAUACGGAGAGUGAGGCAAAGAGUGAGACAGAAAAAAGUGAAACAGGUACAGUGAGGUAGAUAAAGAGCAUACAGAGAGUGAGACAGUCAGAGUGAGGCAAAGAGUGAGACAGAGUGAAACAGAUACAGUGAGGUAGACAAAGAGCACACAGAGAGUGAGACAGUCAGAGUGAGACGGGAAAAAGUGAAACAGGUACAGUGAGGUAGACAAAGAGCAUACAGAGAGUGAGACAGUCAGAGUGAGACAGUCAGACUGAGACAGAAAAAAGUGAAACAGGUACAGUGAGGUAGAAAAAGAGCAUACAGAGAGUGAGACAGUCAGAAUGAGGCAAAGAGUGAGACAGAAAAAAGUGAAACAGGUACAGUGAGGUAGACAAAGAGCAUACAGAGAGUGAGACAGUCAGAAUGAGGCAAAGAGUGAGACAGAAAAAAGUGAAACAGAUACAUUGAGGUAGAAAAAGAGCAUACAGAGAGUGAGACAGUCAGAGUGAGACAGUCAGAGUGAGACAGGAAAAAGUGAAACAGGUACAGUGAGGUAGAAAAAGAGCAUACAGAGAGUGAGACAGUCAGAGUGAGACAGUCAGAGUGAGACAGGAAAAAGUGAAACAGGUACAGUGAGGUAGAAAAAGAGCAUACAGAGAGUGAGACAGUCAGAGUGAGACAGUCAGAGAGAGACGGGAAAAAGUGAAACAGGUACAGUGAGGUAGAAAAAGAGCACACAGAGAGUGAGACAGUCAGAGUGAGACAGUCAGAGUGAGACGGGAAAAAGUGAAACAGGUACAGUGAGGUAGACGAAGAGCACACAGAGAGUCACAUAUGGACCGGUUUCACUGAUCGACACGGACGUAUUUCAUGAAUCUGCUCUGUAUUCAUCGUGUUUCUCAGGUCUAAGACCGUGAAGAUCGGACUUGCGUUCUCGUGAAGUCUGUGAAGAACCGGUCUUGCCCGGCUACCUUGGAAGAACGACCUUCACGCAUCUUUGCGAGAACUGAGAUGUGCUGCGCGCUUCCUGCUGCGCGGUGCACCGUCCCAGCACAUCUCUCGUAGAGGGACAGGACCGUCGUCUCUUCAUUGCUGCCGGAGUAAUAUGUUUCAGCCGCUUAACAGAUUCGCUCUUACACGGCUGAUUAACCGGAAGUUAAUUAAGACCAGUUUAAUGUAGUAAGCUCGCUGCGACCUCACGUUAACUAAAAACGAAGCUGAGGAGUUUCCCGUCUCCUCAGGGUGGACGCUAGCGUUGAUUAAUUCAAAUAUUUCGGAGAGAUAGAUUCCACUUUUCAACCAGCUCAUAUAUAUCUCAAUCUAAAUCUUAUCUCACAUGCGUUCUUUUACGAUGCAUCUUUGGAUUAUUGUCUGUAAAGAGACGUUAAAAGUGUCAUGUGACCGCCGCUUUCGUCACGGGGCAGGCUUCAGAGAGAGAGAGAGAGAGAGAGAGAGAGAGAGAGAGAGAGAGACGGAGGGUUCGAUAUAGUGAGGUAGACAAAGAGCAUCUAGAGAGUGAGACAGAAAAAGCGUGAGCUGGAUAGUGAGACAUAGAAAGAGAGUAAGGCAAAGAGUGAGACAGACAAAGAAUGAGACAGAAUGUGAGACAGACAAAGAAUGAGACAGAGAGUGAGACAGACAAAGAGCAUCUAGAGAGUGAGACAGAAAAAGAAUGAGCUGGAUAGUGAGACAUAGAAAGAGAGUAAGGCAAAGAGUGAGACAGACAAAGAAUGAGACAGAAUGUGAGACAGACAAAGAAUGAGACAGAGAGUGAGACAGACAAAGAGCAUCCAGAGAGUGAGACAGAAAAAGAAUGAGCUGGAUAGUGAGACAUAGAAAGAGAGUAAGGCAAAGAGUGAGACAGACAAAGAAUGAGACAGAGAGUGAGACAGACAAAAGAGCAUAUAGAGAGUGAGACGGAUAGUAAGACAGAGAGAGUGAGACAAAGACUGAGAGAGAAAAAAGUGAAACAUAUAGUGAGGUAGACAAAGAGCGUAUAGAGGGCGAGACAGAAAAACAGUGAGCUGGAUAAUAGACAGAGACAGAGAGACAGAGAGUGAGACAGACAAAGCACAUAGAGAGUGAGACGGAUAGAGAGAGAGAUGCAAAGAGUGAGAUAGGGAGUGAGACAGGCAAAGAAUGAGACUAAGUAUGAGGCAGAAAAGGAGCAAGAUAGAGUGAGGCAAAGAGUGAGACAGGUAUAUAUAUAGAGACAGAUGCAAAGAGUGAGACAGGGAGUGAGACGAAGUGUGAGGUAGAAAAAGAGUGAGACAAAGAAUGUGAGAGAGUGAGGUACAGCGUGAGGCACAAAAAAAAGAGAGCGGCAGAGAGUGAGACCAAAAGAGUGCAGUAGAGUGAGGCAGAAAGAGUGAGACAGAGAGCGAGACAGAAAAAAACCCUCUUUCUCUCAUCCUCGCUAACUAGCGUUUAACUGAGCAGCUAGCGUAUCAUUUACCUCCUGCCUGCUCACACGGAUGCACGUGUGCAGGUGUUUCACACGCCACACACUCAAUCUAAUCCAUUACACGACAAGAUAAACAACUUUAAACCUUCAACGGAAACAAGACCUCAGCUACGCUAAGCUAGCUGUCUUCAUCCGUGUCUGAGAGAAACUGAAGAAGACGCGCUUUUGGCUAAUGUGAGCGAGUGGUGCGGUGGAGUGUAAUCUAACGCAACGCCUCAUAAUCCGGUCAUCGGGGUUCAAAUCUAGACGACGCCUCUGUGUUGCUUCCACGCAUUUCCUUCACACCUCCAUUUACCUUCCUAAGGUUGAAGAAAAGCAUGUUGCGAGCACAUAAUCUAGUUGUGUUAGUCUAAAAAUUACCGGGCUAAUUUAAGAGCCAUUACAGCAAUAUACUAUAAUCUACUCCACUUUUACAGCCAUUAUGGAUCCAGUGUCUUAUUUCUAAACCGGUGUCUAUGAGCUUCCCUCGCUCGUUAGCCUGUACACGCCAGUCUAAAGACGUGAGAGCAAACAUCUGGCAUCGAGCUUGUACCUGUUCUUAAAUAUCAGACGAGUGGAUUAUGUUACACACGCUGCGUUAAAGUUAAGUCGAUUCAAUUUCCUGUCUAGUCCAGCCUUCAUCGUCAUUACUGUCCUCGUCGUCAUCAUCAUCAGCGUUAUCGUCAGAGAGAGAGAGAGACAGACAGAGAGAGACAGACAGAG